GUCGAGGGUUCGAUUCUGGAGAAAUCAAUAGGAAGAAUCUGUCCCUUCUACUUCUAGUUCGUCCUCGGGGUGUAGAGAGAUUUUUACUCCUGUUCCUAUUUCUGUUGCUAACCCCGUUACUUUGGCUCGUCCUAGGGAGAUGGGGCGAGAUAGGGUAGAGAAGGAGGUAGGUUCCCCUAUGGGUAGUGAAGGGAACGAUCAGUUGGAGUAGGGGGCUGAAUCUUACAUGUCGGUAGUCACAUGUGAUAUGUUAGCUAGUUGGAGGGCAAAAUAUGAUAUUCCGAGUUUGGUAAUUAUGAUAAUCCUUGAACCAUUUGACCGUGCUAAUGCUCCCCCUAUGGGAUGUGUCGCAUUGAAUUCUACCAUCCUUCAAGCCGGGCUGAGAUUACCUAUUCAUAUGGUUAUCCGUAGUUCUUGUCUUUUUAGGGCAUAGCUCCGACCCAGUUAUGGCCAAAUUGGUGGCGGACUCUGAUCGCCACGCUUAUUCUAUGGGAUAGAUUAGGUAACCCUAAGCUUACGAUUGAGCUGUUCAACUCUUUGUUUACUUUUAAGUAGGAUGGGAAGAACUCGGGUUGGUAGUAAACAAGUGUUAGGCCAAGGACGGGAGGUUUUCUGGUUUUAGACACCCCCUCAUCCAUUAAGAAAUAGAAGGAAGAGUGGUUCUAUGUGUCGGGGGAGUGGCAGUUUCAUUCUGCCAAGGUGAAUAGGGACGAUGUGGUCCCAGCGCUUUAUCACUCGUUAUGUAAGUAACUGUCUCUUAGUGUUUUAACCUAGAUUGUAUUUUGAGCAUCUCUAAUUGAUAUCAUGUUACUGUGCAAAUUAUAAGAGGCCUACACUGAAGAAAGACACUCAGAGGCGAGCGGAAGCAAUUCGUGCAUUGCCGAAGAAACAGAGAUCUUGCAAAUUUUUGCUCUCAAAUUUCAACCUUUUCCAGGCCGGCUUGAUUCAAACUAGGGUACCGGGAACUUCCACCGUCGUAGCGUCUACAUUAGUUCCGACCAGUUCAGGUCGAUUUUGAUUGGUUUAUUGAGGUGAUAUUUGUUAGAGUUGAGUGCUGACAUACUUUUUUGUUUAGAGUUCACAAUUCAGAAAUAUUGGGAUACAAGGCAGCAAAAGUUGCGGUCGCACCGAAGGCCAAGAAGAGGGACAUCCCAGAACGGGAUGAAAGUCGUUUUGAGGAAGUGGAGGACGAGGUCUCCUUGAAGAGGAAUCGUAUGGUACGUCGGCCGCACCAAGGGUCCCUGAUGCCGAUCCUGCGUUGAGCUCUUCUUCUUUGGUGGCCAUCACUUUGCCGUCUCCAACUCAUACCUCGCCACCUCCUGCGACACCUGCUUCCGCUUCGACUAGCUUGACAAAGGUGUAGGAGAGGUGCUCGAACUUACAAAGGCCAUCACUGGAUAGUCUACUAGGCCACCAUCCAGAGAUCUUCCUAGAUUACUUGCGAGCUCCAUCUCUAUCGAGGGAGAUUACUAUUGCACUUCCCCCACCUCUGCGUGAUUCUGCAAACCUACUUACCAGGAGUUAGGGUGAAAGGGAGUAGGGCUUCCUUAAUGCACAUAGGUGAGGCCCUAGUGACUGCUCAACUUCACGGCCAUCGCUCUAUCCUGUACAUGACGGCCGUAGCUGAUAAGGUAUUUUCCUUACUUCAUUUUAUUUGAUGAUUUACAUAUUUGCGAGGUGCUUAACUUAUGGAUUUUAAUAUAGGUGAAAUCUGAGCUCGACAAACUGAUGGAGGCCAAGGAUCAGGCCUUGAAUUUGUAUAAUAGCAUGGAGGUUGAGAGAGCUCAGUUUGCCAUAAAAGAAAAAGAAUACGAGGAGAAGCUUAACACGAUGGGGUUUAAGCUGAACUCGAGGCUAGAGAUGGAGGAAAAAUGGAUGGGGGAGAUUAGAGCUUUGAGGAAGGAGGCCGGUCGUAGGGCUGAGGCUGAGAAGAAGAGGAUUGAGGAAGAGAGUUCGGACUAAGGAGGCUGUAGAGAAGGUACGGGAGGUAAAUGAGAGAGUAAGAAAGGCAACGUGUAGACUGAGGAGGCUGAAUCUAGGGCUAUGAAGACAG
RNAcentral lists this long non-coding RNA (2053 nucleotides) under Olea europaea subsp. europaea. The record is from RNAcentral. Lineage: Eukaryota; Viridiplantae; Streptophyta; Magnoliopsida; Lamiales; Oleaceae.